UUUCUCUGCGUCUAAAUAUGCCCUCGGGACCCCUUAAAGGGGGGGGGGCAGAAGUCGGUACAAGGUUUCCGUAGGUGAACCUGCGGAAGGAUCAUUGUCGAAACCUGCACAAGCAGAAAGACCCGUGAACUCGUUUACAAACACCGGGCGGACGGCGUUUGGCCACAAACCGACGACGUCCCCCGAGCUUGGGAGGAUCCCGGCUCCCAGUGAGUCGGUCACCUCCCGGCACGAACAAACCCCGGCGCGGAUUGCGCCAAGGACCAUGAACAAUAGCGCGUCCCACGCCCCUCGGUUGCCCGAAGUGUGCGUGGGUCGUCGUGUCGUUUCGAUACAUUAGAACGACUCUCGGCAACGGAUAUCUCGGCUCUCGCAUCGAUGAAGAACGUAGCGAAAUGCGAUACUUGGUGUGAAUUGCAGAAUCCCGUGAACCAUCGAGUCUUUGAACGCAAGUUGCGCCCGAAGCCUUCGGGCCAAGGGCACGUCUGCCUGGGCGUCACGCACCGCGUYGCCCCCACCCCAUACCAUUGGGAUCGGGGGCGGACUGUGGCCCCCCGUGCGCUCCUCGCUCACGGUCGGCCUAAACACAGACCCCGUGGCCGCGAAAUGCCGCGACGUUUGGUGGUUUACUCGUGGCCUUGUGCCUCGAGCAUCGCGUCGUGGCCCUGGCGGCCCAUGGGAGCUCAAAGGACCCUGAGGAGGACCGUGUCACCCUCGAGUGGCGCAGGAACCUCCUAACCGUUGCGACCCCAGGUCAGGCGGGACUACCCGCUGAGUUUAAGCAUAUCAAUAAGCGGAGGAA
Molecule: ribosomal RNA, 802 nt
Filed under: Persicaria orientalis
Lineage: Eukaryota; Viridiplantae; Streptophyta; Magnoliopsida; Caryophyllales; Polygonaceae
Description: eukaryotic LSU rRNA
Source: RNAcentral